RNAcentral lists this ribosomal RNA (119 nucleotides) under Pteropus alecto (black flying fox). The record is from RNAcentral. Lineage: Eukaryota; Metazoa; Chordata; Mammalia; Chiroptera; Pteropodidae.
GUCUACAGCCAUGUCUCCCUGAGCAAGCCCGAUCCCGUCUGAUCUCGGAAGCUAAGCAGGGUAGGCCCUCGAUAGUACUUGGAUGGGAGACCACCUAGGAAAACCGGGUGCUGUAGGCA